This 2164-nucleotide long non-coding RNA is filed under the name Brachypodium distachyon (stiff brome). Its description in RNAcentral is "long non-coding RNA (BDIS_LNC003246)". Lineage: Eukaryota; Viridiplantae; Streptophyta; Magnoliopsida; Poales; Poaceae. The record is from RNAcentral.
UAUGUUUUAAGGAAGAUGGCGCCUCCUCUUUGAUGGAUGAUGUUUUGGUAUCCUAUGCAAUCAAGAAAAUUCAUCACUUCAAUAAUUAUCAAAAGAAGAGCAUACAUGUCCAUGCGAAUUUGAAGGUUCACCUUUUUAAAAUAUAAAGUGAACGCAGUUGUCUUACCGGUUCCACCUUUGCUUUCUUUGAAGCUGCACUCCCAGAUGUUUUCGCAUCAUCACCACCUGACUUCCUCUUUUGCUUGGAUUUGGAUGCAGGAGGUGUGCUGCGAGCAUGUCCUGAUGAAGGUGUUGGUUUAGCUGGGCUGUUAUCAACAGGUUCAUCUUUAGGUUGAUCAUUCUGCUUUGGAGCAAGCACUGGAGAUGACUCAUCAUCCUGCUGAAAGAAGGAAAGAAGGAAAUCUCCUAUCACAAAAAGUAGCAUGCUUUCCUUCGAACAAUACCCUUCCAAUACAUUGUGAAAAUAAAUAUUAAAGCUCCACGAGAAUAAAUUACAUCAUCAUCUUCAUCAUCCUCGUCUGCAUCUGACUCAUUUUGUCCAGAAGCACGCCCAAGCAGCUUCUUUAAUUCUUUUCCUGACUUGCUCAGACCACCUUCUUCUUCAUUCUCUUCAUCAUCCUGGAUGUAUCAUACUCGGAAUAUCAACAGUUUUCUCUUGAACAAUGAUAAUUGCAAGAGUAAAAUGCACCGUAGGUCCUACAACUAUACGGGGUGUGUCAAGUGAGUCCUAAUUCUAUCAAAGUGCAUAUUUGGAUCCUAAUUCUUUGUAAAUUGUUCACGCGUGGUCCUAAUCGAGCCUGAGCCGCUGCUGACCGGCCAGGUGGCAAGUUGACUGCCACGCUGGCUAACCGUGUCGAGUUGCUGGAAAAUGCAAAUAGGCCCAACCUUUCCAUUUUGCAAUUUCAAACGGGGUGGGGAGAAUCGGGGAAAGGACCUCGGGAUGAGUAAAAUUGAAAGAUUGGGCCUAUUUGCAAUUUUCAGCGGCCCGGCAAUUAGCCAGCGUGGAAGUCAACUUGCCACCUGGCCAGUCAGCAGUGGCUCGGGCUCGAUUAGGACCACACGUGAACAACUUACAAAGAAUUAGGGUCCAAAUAUGCACUUUGAUAGAAUUAGGACUCACUUGACACACCCCGAAUAGUUUUAGGACCUACGGUGCAUUUUACUCAUAAAGCAAGUACCACAUCAUGACCUAACAGCAAGAGGGGAAAGGAACAGCAUAUUUGCUUCAAAUAGCUUCAAAAACAGCAUUCGUAGAAAUGUAAUUGCAGCUCCAGCGCAUAUUUGUUAGAUAUUGUUUCCCAUAAUUCGUGCUAGCAUGCAAUGGUCAGAUUCUCUAAUGAAGAUUCACGAAAGAUUGGCUAUCCAAUAGACUAAUACUUACCUUAACAUCGAACAAGAAUCUUAUCAAAAAGCAAAGAAGCUUACUAUCACUUCCUACAACUUAUGGCCACAGUGUUCUAUUAAGUAUUAUUAACUCCAACACGAAUCACAUGUGAAUUCCCAUCACAGCACUAGCACCAGCAAAGCAAUAUCAUGAUGCAUGCUAACAGGCAAAGACACCUAGGAUAAAUCAAGUCUCUGCAAAUAUCUUACAUAUAAAGAAAUUUAUUUACAAAUGAUAAGUAACUUCUUAUAGAUGUGUGCACAAAGAACAUACGAGAAAACAAGACUGGGGAUAACUAAACUAAACUACACUAAAAAAAACUCUUGACGCAUUGCUUGAUUGAUAUGGGAUACACACUCAGAGGGGUAGAUAACUUCUUCUAAGAAACUAAUCCUAUUUUCGUAACUUCCGAGAUCUUAUAACUUAUUGGACAUCUCUUAUCCCCUAACUGGAUAACUACGGCAUAUGACUAAGCAUAGUAGGCCAGUUACCUGUUCGCCUCUUGUAAACAUUCUGAGCGUUCCCAACUUAGACAUUCAUGUCAUCAAUUUUCAGAUUUUAGUACUGACUGAAGGUGCUUUAUAAGUGAGAAACAAAACAUAUUGCUAAGAGACACAACUAUGAAUUCAUAAAUAUUUCCGUAAUAGUGUACAUAUAUGUAACAACCUGCUUAAUUUCAGGUGGAGCAGGAAUUUCAGGAGCUAAAUCAGCCCGUUCCUCUGGGUCGAUAUCCACAGCCUCAUCAUCAUCGGUGAAUGUUUCUUCGUGCUCCCAGUCAUC